This 20-nucleotide microRNA is filed under the name Macaca mulatta (Rhesus monkey). RNAcentral's name for it is "mml-miR-7207-3p". Lineage: Eukaryota; Metazoa; Chordata; Mammalia; Primates; Cercopithecidae. The record is from miRBase by way of RNAcentral.
CUCUGUAUUUUAAAGGAUGC